Molecule: long non-coding RNA, 1197 nt
Organism: Phyllopteryx taeniolatus (common seadragon)
Lineage: Eukaryota; Metazoa; Chordata; Actinopteri; Syngnathiformes; Syngnathidae
Exons: 3
Source: RefSeq, a predicted model, not a curated record
UAUUUAUUAUUAUUAUUUCUUUAUUAUCAUCAUUUGUAUGUUCGCCACAUCAAAGAAUGCGUGUGUGCAAAUGUGUCAGUGCGCUAAGUGGAACACCAAACACUAAAUCAAUUACAAAUCACAGUGAUUCAAUAUCGAAGGUCUGGACUGGAAUAAAUAUUUACUAUGACUAAAACAGGAAAAAGUUUCUUGUAGUGUGUGCGAUUCCUCCUAGAUGUAAACGACAGUGAAACCCAUCAUAAUUGCAACUAAUUCCAAAUUUGCAUAUUUCCGGAUUUUAUUUGGGGAACCAAUCCUCGCUUAUUUGCUAUUAAUGCUAAGAAGCCAUUGGUCAUAAAUAUUGCUUUGGCGCCAUCUGGCUACCAAGAAUGUAUACUGAACAAACAUAUGAACACACAACACUUAUGUUUUUGGUCUCAAACCUUUUCGGCAAUCUGUGUUAGUGAGCAUUUCUCCUUUGUCGAGAUAAUCACAGGUGUGGCAUAUCAAGAUGCUGAUUAGGCCGCAUGAUUAUUGCGCAGGUGUGCCAUAGGCUGACCGCAAUGAAAGGCCAGUUUUAUCACACAGCACGGCACAAUGCCACAGAUGUCGCAAGUACUGAGGGCGCGUGCAAUUGGCAUGCUGACUGCCGGAUUGUCCACCGUGUUCAUUUCUCUACCAUAAACCGUCUCCAAAGGCGUUCCAGACCAUUUGGCAGUCCAUCCGACCGGCCUCACAACCGCACCGGCUCAGGACCUCCACAUCCGGCAUGUUCACCUCCAAGAUCGGUAUUUUCCAAACGGCUCCUUGUUGUGAAGCGAGUCGAGUCGCCCGUCAACAAGACGUCCCGAUGACAGCUCGUAUCUGAAGGCCCAACCGCUUCGGCUAUCACAAGCGGAAGAAUCGAUCCGAGCCACACCCAGACCGCCGCCUGUUCUUCCUCUCCGUCUCGGCCCCGCCCUCCCCCGUCCCGUCAGGCCCGGAACCUUCCACCACGUACUCUGCGUGACCUGCGUCUCUGUCCUUCAUCCACAGGCAAAUAAUUUUGUUUAGGGAAUGCGAGCAGCUUCAUCUUCCCUGGUGCUCUUCAUUUAAAAAAAGAAAAAAAAUAAAUUUAAAAAAAAUGUCAAUAUUCUUUCCUUUGAAACCAGAUGCACUCAUUGACAGUCAUCAUCAUCAUUACGAAUGAACAUGUGGCCUCCCCCUGCUCACCGACAU